RNAcentral lists this ribosomal RNA (695 nucleotides) under Salmonella enterica. Its description in RNAcentral is "partial 23S ribosomal RNA". It matches the Rfam family "Bacterial large subunit ribosomal RNA", at positions 2211 to 2900 of the family's 2925-position model. Lineage: Bacteria; Pseudomonadati; Pseudomonadota; Gammaproteobacteria; Enterobacterales; Enterobacteriaceae. The record is from RNAcentral.
UGUUUGAUGUUCUAACGUGGACCCGUGAUCCGGGUUGCGGACAGUGUCUGGUGGGUAGUUUGACUGGGGCGGUCUCCUCCUAAAGAGUAACGGAGGAGCACGAAGGUUGGCUAAUCCUGGUCGGACAUCAGGAGGUUAGUGCAAUGGCAUAAGCCAGCUUGACUGCGAGCGUGACGGCGCGAGCAGGUGCGAAAGCAGGUCAUAGUGAUCCGGUGGUUCUGAAUGGAAGGGCCAUCGCUCAACGGAUAAAAGGUACUCCGGGGAUAACAGGCUGAUACCGCCCAAGAGUUCAUAUCGACGGCGGUGUUUGGCACCUCGAUGUCGGCUCAUCACAUCCUGGGGCUGAAGUAGGUCCCAAGGGUAUGGCUGUUCGCCAUUUAAAGUGGUACGCGAGCUGGGUUUAGAACGUCGUGAGACAGUUCGGUCCCUAUCUGCCGUGGGCGCUGGAGAACUGAGGGGGGCUGCUCCUAGUACGAGAGGACCGGAGUGGACGCAUCACUGGUGUUCGGGUUGUCAUGCCAAUGGCACUGCCCGGUAGCUAAAUGCGGAAGAGAUAAGUGCUGAAAGCAUCUAAGCACGAAACUUGCCCCGAGAUGAGUUCUCCCUGAGACUUAGAGUCUCCUGAAGGAACGUUGAAGACGACGACGUUGAUAGGCCGGGUGUGUAAGCGCAGCGAUGCGUUGAGCUAACCGGUA